GAGUUUGAUCAUGGCUCAGAACGUACGCUGGCGGCACGCCUAACACAUGCAAGUCGAACGAAGUAGCAAUACUUAGUGGCAGACGGGUGAGUAACAUGUAGGUAUCUGCCCUUUGGCCUGGAAUAACACGAGGAAACUUGUGCUAAUACCGGAUAAGUCUUUACGGAGAAAGCUUUAUGCACCAUUGGAUGAGCCUGCACUUGAUUAGUUUGUUGGUGGGGUAAUGGCCUACCAAGACUGUGAUCAAUAGCUGAUUUGAGAGGAUGAUCAGCCACAUUGGGACUGAGACACGGCCCAAACUCCUACGGGAGGCAGCAGUAGGGAAUCUUGCACAAUGGAGGAAACUCUGAUGCAGCGAUGCCGCGUGAGUGAAGAAGGCCCUUGGGUUGUAAAGCUCUUUCGUCGGGGAAGAAAAUGACUGUACCCGAAUAAGAAGGUCCGGCUAACUUCGUGCCAGCAGCCGCGGUAAUACGAAGGGACCUAGCGUAGUUCGGAAUUACUGGGCUUAAAGAGUUCGUAGGUGGUUGAAAAAGUUGGUGGUGAAAUCCCAGAGCUUAACUCUGGAACUGCCAUCAAAACUUUUCAGCUAGAGUAUGAUAGAGGAAAGUAGAAUUUCUAGUGUAGAGGUGAAAUUCGUAGAUAUUAGAAAGAAUACCAAUUGCGAAGGCAGCUUUCUGGAUCAUUACUGACACUGAGGAACGAAAAGCAUGGGUAGCGAAGAGGAUUAGAUACCCUCGUAGUCCAUGCCGUAAACGAUGUGUGUUAGACGUUGGAAAUUUAUUUUUCAGUGUCGCAGCGAAAGCGAUAAACACACCGCCUGGGGAGUACGACCGCAAGGUUAAAACUCAAAUGAAUUGACGGGGACCCGCACAAGUAGUGGAGCAUGUGGUUUAAUUUGAAGAUACGCGCAGAACCUUACCAACACUUGACAUGUUCGUCGCGACUCUAAGAGAUUAGAGUUUUCGGUUCGGCCGGACGAAACACAGGUGCUGCAUGGCUGUCGUCAGCUCGUGUCGUGAGAUGUUGGGUUAAGUCCCGCAACGAGCGCAACCCUCACUUUUAGUUGCCAUCAUUAAGUUGGGCACUCUGAAAGAACUGCCAGUGAUAAGCUGGAGGAAGGUGGGGAUGACGUCAAGUCCUCAUGGCCCUUACGUGUUGGGCUACACACGUGCUACAAUGGUAUCUACAACAGGAAGCAAGACUGCGAAGUUAAGCAAAUCCCUAAAAGAUACCUCAGUUCGGAUUGCACUCUGCAACUCGAGUGCAUGAAGCUGGAAUUACUAGUAAUCGUGGAUCAGCGUGCCACGGUGAAUGCGUUCCCGGGUCUUGUACACACCGCCCGUCACACCAUGGGAGUUGGUUCUACCUUAAGGCAAGGUUUUAAACCCUUGACCACGGUAUAGUCAGCGACUGGGGUGAAGUCGUAACAAGGUAACC
This 1437-nucleotide ribosomal RNA is filed under the name uncultured marine bacterium. RNAcentral's name for it is "bacterial SSU rRNA". It matches the Rfam family "Bacterial small subunit ribosomal RNA". The record is from RNAcentral.